RNAcentral lists this ribosomal RNA (494 nucleotides) under uncultured bacterium. RNAcentral's name for it is "partial 16S ribosomal RNA". It matches the Rfam family "Bacterial small subunit ribosomal RNA", at positions 28 to 507 of the family's 1533-position model. The record is from RNAcentral.
GACGAACGCUGGCGGCGCGCUUAACACAUGCAAGUCGAACGGAAAGGCCUGCUUUCCCUUGUGGAUUGCGGGUACUCGAGUGGCGAACGGGUGAGUAACACGUGAGUGAUCUGCCCCCAACUUGGGUAUAAGCCUGGGAAACUGGGUCUAAUUCCCGAUAGGACUGCAGGGUGGUGCCUGUGGUGGAAAACGAUUUUCCAGUGGUUGGGGAUGAGCUCGCGGCCUAUCAGCUUGUUGGUGGGGUAAUGGCCUACCAAGGCGGCGACGGGUAGCCGGCCUGGGAGGGUGGACGGCCACAUUGGGACUGAGAUACGGCCCAGACUCCUACGGGAGGCAGCAGUGGGGAAUAUUGCACAAUGGGCGGAAGCCUGAUGCAGCGACGCCGCGUGGGGGAUGACGGCCUUCGGGUUGUAAACUCCUUUCGACCGCGAGGAAGCCACCUGGUUGGAAGGGUGGUGACGGUAGUGGUAGAAGAGGCACCGGCUAACUACGUG